ACUGAUUUGGAUCCUCACAUUGUUGAAGAGAGGCAUGUCCAUCAGAAUUGGUCAUCAUAUAGUAUUGUUGUUGAAGUGUAUAAUGAUCUCCUAAUUCUGCUCAUUUUACUCAGUAUCAGUUCAUUGAUUUAUGCCAGUGUAAGAAAACAUUACUCAAAAUGACUGGAAUCCAAACCAAAUGAAAUAAGAAAAUUAGAGUUAUGCAAAAUUCUAACUUUGAAAAAGAUCUAUCAAUCAACAUUUAAAAUCUGUUGCUACUAAAUAUCGGGAAUUUAAAAAGGUAACUAUUUCUUAAUUCCUUUUUGAUGAAUAUGAUUCUAAAGAUAUGUAAUAUUCUUUCUUUUAAUCAUUUAAUUUAAUCUCAGGCACUUGAAUUUUCAUCUCUUUAGAAAAUUCUACCUUUUAGAGAAUACUGAGUUGCAAGUCAGGUCAUAUGAGUUUUACUCUUGACUUUGCAAUUAGUUAUUUGGGGGACCUAGGAGCAGUGAGUCGUUUUUUUAUUUUUUAAUCUUGUUUUCUCAUUUACCUACUAAGAGGGUGAAACUGAUCAUCUCUAAAUUCUGUUGCAGAAAGUGAAUGUUAAAUUUUUAGAUUGCUUCUCCAAUAAGAAGCCAUUGGGGUAAACUUUUAACUUCCCUAGGUCUCAGUUUUUCUCAACUGACAAAUGAAAAUAUUAACAUUUGUUCUUCCUAAUCCAUAGAGUUUCUUUAGGAAUCUUAAAAUACUCUAGAAGUGGGAGGCAGAGACAAGAUGGCAGAUUGAAGCCAAGUGCCCUACCUCCUUGCAUCCUUCAGAUUCCAGACAAGAUAUGAAGUACA
RNAcentral lists this long non-coding RNA (818 nucleotides) under Sarcophilus harrisii (Tasmanian devil). RNAcentral's name for it is "lncRNA (ENSSHAG00000026208.1)". The record is from RNAcentral. Lineage: Eukaryota; Metazoa; Chordata; Mammalia; Dasyuromorphia; Dasyuridae.